This is a long non-coding RNA of Leopardus geoffroyi (Geoffroy's cat), 421 nucleotides long. RefSeq lists it as uncharacterized. The transcript is spliced from 2 exons. NCBI's taxonomy places the organism in Eukaryota, Metazoa, Chordata, Mammalia, Carnivora, Felidae. The record is from RefSeq and is a predicted model, not a curated record.
AGUCAAGCCUUCAGACGACUGCAGCUUGGUAACAUCUUGACAGCAAGCUCAUGAGAUCCUGAGCCGGAAGCACUGGCUAAAUUGUUCCUGACUAGACUAGAAUCUGUGAGCACAUAAUGGCUCCCAAGGACUGAGGAUCUUCAGCAAUCUAGAAGGCUGGAGAAGCAGGAACAGAUGUGUCCAGUGACUUCCACAGACCGGUGCUCCUGGAUGCUCCUGUGGCUCAUCUACCUCAAGCUGGGUGGUCCCUCUCUGCUGAGGACUGUUAGUGUAUGAAUCCCCCAAUUACUCAGUCAUGUGGCUCGGAUCAAGUAAGUCAAAAUUAUUUUUCUCUAUUAUGCAAAGAUAUGCUUUUCUACAAAGAAAGUGCUUGGGAAGGACAAAUAUGCUUAAAGUACUCUUCACAUAUGAAGAGAGGAAA